AACGACCGUUCCAACUGUUGUCGUUCAGAAUUCUCCCGAGUGGAGCACGACUUUACACGAGUUUACACGAGUGAAUAAAGUGAAUCUGAUUGGUCGUUUAUCAAGAGGGCGGGAUUGUUGAGGCGGAGAAGGUGCGCAAGCAUGUUUGAUUGUGGCCGGUUUCUCUUAGCAACGGGCCAACGCCAACGACGCUGUCAAGAAGGAACGCGACAUGGAAGAGGCCGCCAGGGUGGAAGAAACUUUCUCUGUAGAAGGCAUACGACCAUAAUGUUUGAGCCCUUGCCUCGUCGCAACGCUAGUACGCCAGCCGAAGACACAGACGUCCAACCCCGUGAACACUGGAACGUAACUCAAUGGUGGAGCUUUCCCAUGACCAAGAGAUGAACGCUAAACUUGA
Engraulis encrasicolus (European anchovy) is the source of this 397-nucleotide long non-coding RNA. RefSeq lists it as uncharacterized. The record is from RefSeq and is a predicted model, not a curated record. The transcript has 2 exons. Lineage: Eukaryota; Metazoa; Chordata; Actinopteri; Clupeiformes; Engraulidae.